Long non-coding RNA from Ostrea edulis (European flat oyster), 1247 nucleotides. RefSeq lists it as uncharacterized. The record is from RefSeq and is a predicted model, not a curated record. The transcript has 4 exons. NCBI's taxonomy places the organism in Eukaryota, Metazoa, Mollusca, Bivalvia, Ostreida, Ostreidae.
AUUUUGAUUUCAAAUUAAACAUUAUCUGAAUAACCACUACAUUGAGAUGUGUUUUAUGCUCAUCCAAGUAGAACAGGCAGUACCUGUUCUGAUUUAUUGAAUUUUGCCUUAGGUCAUUAUAAUUAAACUUUUGUAAAUAGGUUUGAAAGUGUUCGAAGUUCCUAUUGGUUUUAGUGUUGUUAGCUGGUGUUUUAUUGGUCAGUUCUUUUUCCCUCCAAAAGUUCUUGGUGGUGUUCAGUCAUUCUUUGUCUAGUUGGUUUAUAGAGAAGUUGGUGAAAAUAUAUGACAGAUAUUUGACUGUUGACUGAUCAUUUCUUUAACAAGGUAAGCUUAUUUUCUAACUUUAAUAUUAUUUCUAAUUUGCAGUAAACGUAAUAAUUUGGUAGAUUUAAUUCCAUAGCACUUGCACAGUGAGAAAGAUAUUUUGUGAGGCAUAAAUCAGUUAGCUUGAAAUAAGUUAAAUUUAUGUGUUUCACAGAUUUGGUAUACUGUAUUUUUAAAUACAUGCUUGAUAUUUUUAUGAUGCAAGUUUAUUUAUGUAAACUUCAUAAUUUACAGUCAAUCUCCAUGGACAUUUUUGUUAAAUGAGGGAUUAUUGCCACAUCACUUAUUCCCAUAGAAUGAGUGUCAUACACAUACAUAUACAUGUAUAUCUAAAGCUUAGAUUCUGGCAAUAAAAUGGAGGUGAUCGACAUCUAAGAACCCAUACAGGACUUUGUUGUUUAAUUCGACAGAAACCCUGUUACAAAAUGGCGCCCACGUUGGGACUCCUCCACCUGUAAAAUCCCUAGAGGACUUUUCUGGAAAAACAACAGUCUGCGGAGGUGACGAGUGUUCGAAUAGUAAGACCGGUCCUUGGCUUUGGUGCAGUGUGCUACGUUCAGGAGACGACCUACAUAACUGUCACGCGUGAAUGGACACAACUGUACAUUGUUUUGGAACAUCGUCCUAGACUUACUUCGUCAAUAUUCAUUUUGGAUAUUAUAUUUGUGACGCAUGUUGUAAGCAUUGUGUGUUAUAUGUGCUGUGUGAUGUGUGUUUUCAUUCUUUGUGUUUGUGCAAUUUUGGUUUACGUCACGUGACAUCUGAAUCAGCUGAUCGUCAAUCUCCAUGGACAUUUUUGUUAAAUGAGGGAUUAUUGCCACAUCACUUAUUCCCAUAGAAUGAGUGUCAUACACAUACAUAUACAUGUAUAUCUAAAGCUUAGAUUCUGGCAAUAAAAUGGAGGUGAUCGACAUCUAAGAACC